RNAcentral lists this ribosomal RNA (1360 nucleotides) under uncultured bacterium. Its description in RNAcentral is "bacterial SSU rRNA". It matches the Rfam family "Bacterial small subunit ribosomal RNA", at positions 28 to 1382 of the family's 1533-position model. The record is from RNAcentral.
GAUGAACGCUAGCUACAGGCUUAACACAUGCAAGUCGAGGGGCAGCAUUUCAAUUUGCUUGCAAACUGGAGAUGGCGACCGGCGCACGGGUGAGUAACACGUAUCCAACCUGCCGAUAACUCGGGGAUAGCCUUUCAAAAGAAAGAUUAAUACCCGAUGGUAUAAUCAGACCGCAUGGUCUUGUUAUUAAAGAAUUUCGGUUAUCGAUGGGGAUGCGUUCCAUUAGGCAGUUGGUGAGGUAACGGCUCACCAAACCUUCGAUGGAUAGGGGUUCUGAGAGGAAGGUCCCCCACAUUGGAACUGAGACACGGUCCAAACUCCUACGGGAGGCAGCAGUGAGGAAUAUUGGUCAAUGGGCGCAGGCCUGAACCAGCCAAGUAGCGUGAAAGAUGACUGCCCUAUGGGUUGUAAACUUCUUUUAUAUGGGAAUAAAGUUUUCCACGUGUGGAAUUUUGUAUGUACCAUAUGAAUAAGGAUCGGCUAACUCCGUGCCAGCAGCCGCGGUAAUACGGAGGAUCCGAGCGUUAUCCGGAUUUAUUGGGUUUAAAGGGAGCGUAGGUGGACAGUUAAGUCAGUUGUGAAAGUUUGCGGCUCAACCGUAAAAUUGCAGUUGAUACUGGCUGUCUUGAGUACAGUAGAGGUGGGCGGAAUUCGUGGUGUAGCGGUGAAAUGCUUAGAUAUCACGAAGAACUCCGAUUGCGAAGGCAGCUCACUGGACUGCAACUGACACUGAUGCUCGAAAGUGUGGGUAUCAAACAGGAUUAGAUACCCUGGUAGUCCACACAGUAAACGAUGAAUACUCGCUGUUUGCGAUAUACAGUAAGCGGCCAAGCGAAAGCAUUAAGUAUUCCACCUGGGGAGUACGCCGGCAACGGUGAAACUCAAAGGAAUUGACGGGGGCCCGCACAAGCGGAGGAACAUGUGGUUUAAUUCGAUGAUACGCGAGGAACCUUACCCGGGCUUAAAUUGCAUUUGAAUAUAUUGGAAACAGUAUAGCCGUAAGGCAAAUGUGAAGGUGCUGCAUGGUUGUCGUCAGCUCGUGCCGUGAGGUGUCGGCUUAAGUGCCAUAACGAGCGCAACCCUUAUCUUUAGUUACUAACAGGUCAUGCUGAGGACUCUAGAGAGACUGCCGUCGUAAGAUGUGAGGAAGGUGGGGAUGACGUCAAAUCAGCACGGCCCUUACGUCCGGGGCUACACACGUGUUACAAUGGGGGGUACAGAAGGCAGCUACCUGGUGACAGGAUGCUAAUCCCAAAAGCCUCUCUCAGUUCGGAUCGAAGUCUGCAACCCGACUUCGUGAAGCUGGAUUCGCUAGUAAUCGCGCAUCAGCCAUGGCGCGGUGAAUACGUUCCCGGGCCCU